RNAcentral lists this ribosomal RNA (547 nucleotides) under Acinetobacter sp. YT-02. RNAcentral's name for it is "bacterial SSU rRNA". It matches the Rfam family "Bacterial small subunit ribosomal RNA", at positions 1 to 540 of the family's 1533-position model. The record is from RNAcentral. Lineage: Bacteria; Pseudomonadati; Pseudomonadota; Gammaproteobacteria; Moraxellales; Moraxellaceae.
UUUAACUGAAGAGUUUGAUCAUGGCUCAGAUUGAACGCUGGCGGCAGGCUUAACACAUGCAAGUCGAGCGGGCGAGGUUGCUUCGGUAACUGAGCUAGCGGCGGACGGGUGAGUAAAGCUUAGGAAUCUGCCUAUUAGUGGGGGACAACAUUUCGAAAGGGAUGCUAAUACCGCAUACGUCCUACGGGAGAAAGCAGGGGACCUUCGGGCCUUGCGCUAAUAGAUGAGCCUAAGUCGGAUUAGCUAGUUGGUGGGGUAAAGGCCUACCAAGGCGACGAUCUGUAGCGGGUCUGAGAGGAUGAUCCGCCACACUGGGACUGAGACACGGCCCAGACUCCUACGGGAGGCAGCAGUGGGGAAUAUUGGACAAUGGGGGGAACCCUGAUCCAGCCAUGCCGCGUGUGUGAAGAAGGCCUUUUGGUUGUAAAGCACUUUAAGUGGGGAGGAGGCUUACCUGGUUAAUACCUGGGCUAAGUGGACGUUACCCACAGAAUAAGCACCGGCUAACUCUGUGCCAGCAGCCGCGGUAAUACAGAGGGUGCGAGCG